GUAACGCGUAUCCAACCUUACCCACUUACUGUUGGGAGUAACCUGCCGAAAGGCAGACUAAUACCGCAUAGUCUUCGAUGACGGCAUCAGAUUUGAAGUAAAGAUUUAUCGGUAAUGGAUGGGGAUGCGUCUGAUUAGCUUGUUGGCGGGGUAACGGCCCACCAAGGCGACGAUCAGUAGGGGGUUCUGAGAGGAAGGUCCCCCCACAUUGGAACUGAGACACGGUCCAAACUCCUACGGGAGGCAGCAGGG
Molecule: ribosomal RNA, 252 nt
Filed under: uncultured Prevotella sp.
Lineage: Bacteria; Pseudomonadati; Bacteroidota; Bacteroidia; Bacteroidales; Prevotellaceae
Description: partial 16S ribosomal RNA
Rfam family: Bacterial small subunit ribosomal RNA
Source: RNAcentral